UGCAGUCGAACGCUUUUUCUUUCACCGGAGCUUGCUCCACCGAAAGAAAAAGAGUGGCGAACGGGUGAGUAACACGUGGGUAACCUGCCCAUCAGAAGGGGAUAACACUUGGAAACAGGUGCUAAUACCGUAUAACACUAUUUUCCGCAUGGAAGAAAGUUGAAAGGCGCUUUUGCGUCACUGAUGGAUGGACCCGCGGUGCAUUAGCUAGUUGGUGAGGUAACGGCUCACCAAGGCAACGAUGCAUAGCCGACCUGAGAGGGUGAUCGGCCACACUGGGACUGAGACACGGCCCAGACUCCUACGGGAGGCAGCAGUAGGGAAUCUUCGGCAAUGGACGAAAGUCUGACCGAGCAACGCCGCGUGAGUGAAGAAGGUUUUCGGAUCGUAAAACUCUGUUGUUAGAGAAGAACAAGGAUGAGAGUAAAAUGUUCAUCCCUUGACGGUAUCUAACCAGAAAGCCACGGCUAACUACGUGCCAGCAGCCGCGGUAAUACGUAGGUGGCAAGCGUUGUCCGGAUUUAUUGGGCGUAAAGCGAGCGCAGGCGGUUUCUUAAGUCUGAUGUGAAAGCCCCCGGCUCAACCGGGGAGGGUCAUUGGAAACUGGGAGACUUGAGUGCAGAAGAGGAGAGUGGAAUUCCAUGUGUAGCGGUGAAAUGCGUAGAUAUAUGGAGGAACACCAGUGGCGAAGGCGGCUCUCUGGUCUGUAACUGACGCUGAGGCUCGAAAGCGUGGGGAGCGAACAGGAUUAGAUACCCUGGUAGUCCACGCCGUAAACGAUGAGUGCUAAGUGUUGGAGGGUUUCCGCCCUUCAGUGCUGCAGCAAACGCAUUAAGCACUCCGCCUGGGGAGUACGACCGCAAGGUUGAAACUCAAAGGAAUUGACGGGGGCCCGCACAAGCGGUGGAGCAUGUGGUUUAAUUCGAAGCAACGCGAAGAACCUUACCAGGUCUUGACAUCCUUUGACCACUCUAGAGAUAGAGCUUCCCCUUCGGGGGCAAAGUGACAGGUGGUGCAUGGUUGUCGUCAGCUCGUGUCGUGAGAUGUUGGGUUAAGUCCCGCAACGAGCGCAACCC
RNAcentral lists this ribosomal RNA (1076 nucleotides) under Enterococcus casseliflavus. RNAcentral's name for it is "bacterial SSU rRNA". It matches the Rfam family "Bacterial small subunit ribosomal RNA", at positions 56 to 1104 of the family's 1533-position model. The record is from RNAcentral. Lineage: Bacteria; Bacillati; Bacillota; Bacilli; Lactobacillales; Enterococcaceae.